UAUCUGCCUUUUCUGAUCUCGGGAGCAGUUUGGCAUGAAUGCGGCCGCCUGUCCUACCGAGUUGCAGGCGUGGUGCCUGGUCAUUGCAGCCGAGCUUUGGUCCACUCGCAGUGCUCUCACCAUGGGACGCAGGAGCAGGGGAGUUAAAAUUCCCUUGAGGAUUUGCUCAAGGGUCUUGAGCAGCGAGCAGUGAGAUCCAUUUCCUGAGAGGAGUCCUUGAAACAGAACUGUGAGAAAUGAAGAUGCUGCAGCUGGAGUGAUGGGAAUGGAGAGCCCAUGGAGAGUGAAUGUUGCCUGGUUUCACCACAGCCACAGAAUUCCACUAGCAAUGGUCAGAGAUCAUCCAGAUCACCACUGGCUCCAAAGAGCUCGAUAAACUGCUUGAAGGAAAAACAGAAGUGGGGUCCAUAACAAAGUUAUGCAGGGAAUUCUAUACUGGGAAGACUCAGCUGUGUCACAGCCAGGCAGUCGCCUGUCAGCUCCCCAUGGACCGCGAGGGUGGCGAGGGAAAAGCCACAUCCAUGGACUUGGAGGGGACCUUUCAUCCAGAGCAGCUCCUGGCUGUGGCUGAAAGGUCUGUGAUUGGAGGACAGGAAUAUAUUGACUCACUACUCAGUUGGAAGAUGUUUUCCACAGUUCCUGGAGGUUGAUUUGGCAGGUGCUCCCUUUGCAUACCACUGGUGUUGAUCUUUUUCUCCCAUCUCUGCCAGUCUGUCCCCAUAGCUCUCAUGUCAUUGCUCCUCAGCACAAGGUGGUUUCCCUCUCUUUUGCUACUGGAAGGGAAUGGGAGGUUCCCAAGCAGUUGGGGACAGUACUGGCUGGAUCCUGUUAGCUCUUUCUGAAAGGAAUUUCAUCUAAUCCUGCUGGCUUCUCCUGCAGCAAGGAGUGCUCCCAUGUUCCCUGUCACCAGGGAAUAUUUGGCAAGCAAGCAAAGGAGAGGAAGUGAAAUGAUGUUUGCAGCAGGCACAGGUGUGUCUGUGCUGGCCACAUACAGUGUCCUUGGAAUAAUGGAAUUGUUCAGGUUGGAGAAACCCUCUGAGAUCACGGUGCCCAGCCAUUCCCCCAGCGCUGCCAAGGCCGCCUCUGUCCCGUGUCCCCAAGUGCCACAUCAACACUGCUUUAAAUCCCUCCAGGGAUGGGACCUCCCUCAUUGCCCUGGGCAGCUUGCCAGGGAUGGACAGCCUUUCCACUAAGAGACUUCCUAGUAUCUAAUCUAAACCUCCCCUAGUAUCACAUGAGGCUGUUUCUUCUUAUCCAUUUAAAAUGGUUCCAGUCAUUCCAUUUUCUCUUCAUCACCACAUGUUGCAUUUUUUCCAUCGGUUUUUAUCUCUCCCAGGGAUGUGAGUUUUUAUUCCAGUCUUUUGGCAAAGCUCCUGGCUAACUCAUGUGGAUGAAGUUGUCACUCAAGUUUCAUUCCUUUAUUUUCCCUGAUUUUGCAGGUAUGGCCUGUCUGGCAGUGAUGUCCUAGACAAUGCAGCCUCUGCCAGGACUUUAACACUGAUCACCAGACCCAGGUGCUGGAUCAGGCCUUGGCCAUGAUGGCUGAGUCACAGUAAUUACACUGAUUUCAUGGACUUUGUUCCCACAUAGGAUUAGCCUUUGGCUUCUCCAGGGAAGUAGCUUGUUCCAUGGACAGUCAGGUGUCAGCAGCAUGUCUUCCUGCUGGAAUUCUGGGUGCCAGUGACUGGCUCCAGCUGAUGUGGCUGUACAAACACAGGGAAUUAAUGGUUCCUCAGUGCCAGCCUGAGGAGCAACUUUGAAGCUCAAUUUAUAACUGCAGAAACAGUGCUGAUGAUUUCCAAGCUCCCAGGAGACCUGUGGAGGCAACUUGGGAUUGGAACCAAGACUUACAGCCCUGCCUGCUCUUUACCAGGUAGACACUGCUGAUCAUGGCUAGUGCUGUGGCCCUGUACUGCAUGGAUUCCUAGGAAAGGGGGGGAGCUCUCUGCCAGGCAGGUGCACCUGGCCAGCUUCCUGUGGAUGGUGCUGCACCUGGCUGAUGAGGUGAACAUCAACUGGGUUUUAUUGCCAAGGUAAAACUCACUGUUUUUCUUACAAAGCCCAGCGAUUUGGUCCCAAUGGCUUUGUUGCUCAGUCUCUGCUCCCACUGGUUUGGAGAGGCUUGCUCUCACAGUAAUGGACACCUGGAGUGUCCCUGUGUCCUUUUUCCCUGCUUUUCUGUUCUGAUUGUGAAAAAUAACUGGGUUUUGGUUGUUUCUCCUGUAUGGCAAUCAUUUCCACAAACUGGGUGGUGGCACAGGUAGACGGAGCUGCCACAUUUGCUGCAGAUCCCAAAAAACCCAUCGGAAGGAAUAUCAUCGCUCCUGCUUCCUCCACCAGGUGAGACAAAAGAUGGUCAUAUCCCAGUUUUAUAGAACUGGCCGAGUAGCUUGUACUUCUGGGAUUUCCAUAGUCUGUUCAUGGCACUUCACCUUAGUGCCGCUCUGGGCUCUCAGUCUGCAGGGAAAUUAACAUCUCAGGCAGUUCUUACAGCUCUACUUAAUGGUUUGUGGAUUAUGAUGAUUUUCUGGAAGUAGGCUGUCCAUUCUAGCCCAUUGUCUUUCCUCCCCCUGUCAGACUGUACCUGCGGAAAGGCCGAGGUAAGACAGGAUCUGACUCACCGUGUCUUGCUGAGGCCGCUGUGUUUGCUAUCAGUGCUGAUGGAGUGGGAGAUCCUAAAUACCGAAAACUCCUUUUUUUCUCCCCUGAGUCCCAAGACUCUGUGUCCGUAAGAGGCUCCUUUCUUGGUGGCACCUUAGGGAUACUUCUCAAGGCAUCAGGCAGAGGAAGAUGUGGUGUGUCAACAUGGGAACCGUCAGGACACACCGAGUGCAGCCAGAGCCGUUUGGAAGAGAUCUCUCUUUGGGCAGUAGACACAGAUUAGGUCAGUGUGCUUCCUCAGGAGUAUUCUGUCCUGGGGUGAUGUUAUGAGGCCGCUUUAUUCCUUAACUGUCUGCUUAAUGCCCAAGGACACUCUGUCUUUAAGAUGGAUCCAGGGGGUGAGGCUGGAACCAUGGCACCCGCAUGUGGUUUGGUUCAAUGGCUCAGCCCAACGGGCUCUGGGGCUCUGGGGCUCAGUGGGGGCUCGGGAGGGAUUGCGCUGGGAGCGCUGUGCUGCUCUUCGGUUUUUUUUGUUCCGGCUAGCUGGAAAAAGGUUGUGUUGGUUUUUUUUUGUUCUUUUUCCCUUCCCUCCCCUUGCCUCAUGCCUCCCUUCCCUUCCCUCUGGUCAUGGGAGCCUGCCGGGUGGCCCCAGUGGGCCCACAGGGUGGCCCUGGCUGGUCCGAGCCCGAGUGUCUGUUCCCUCUCUGGGAAUUUGUUUUAUUUUGAGUUUUGUUUUAUUCUGUUCUACCCUGUUUUGUUUUGUGUUAAUAAACAGUUUGGGUUUUUUCCCACUUUCACUUGUUGUUACCAAUUUGUCCCAUUAGUGGAGGAGAAGGGGAGGCUAUUACCGCAGGCCUGGUUCCUACAGUAUA
Long non-coding RNA from Corvus hawaiiensis (hawaiian crow), 3473 nucleotides. RefSeq lists it as uncharacterized. NCBI's taxonomy places the organism in Eukaryota, Metazoa, Chordata, Aves, Passeriformes, Corvidae. The transcript is spliced from 5 exons. The record is from RefSeq and is a predicted model, not a curated record.